GAUGAACGCUGGCGGCGUGCUUAACACAUGCAAGUCGAACGAAGCACUUUAUUUGAUUUCCUUCGGGACUGAUUAUUUUGUGACUGAGUGGCGGACGGGUGAGUAACGCGUGGGUAACCUGCCUUGUACAGGGGGAUAACAGUUGGAAACGGCUGCUAAUACCGCAUAAGCGCACGGCAUCGCAUGAUGCAGUGUGAAAAACUCCGGUGGUAUAAGAUGGACCCGCGUUGGAUUAGCUAGUGGGUGAGGUAACGGCCCACCAAGGCGACGAUCCAUAGCCGACCUGGGAGGGUGGCCGGACACAUUGGGACUGAGACACGGCCCAAACUCCUACGGGAGGCAGCAAUGGGGGAUAUUGCACAAUGGGCGAAAGCCUGAUGCAGCGACGCCGCGUGAGCGAAGAAGUAUUUCAGUAUGUAAAGCUCUAUCAGCAGGGAAGAUAAUGACGGUACCUGACUAAGAAGCACCGGCUAAAUACGUG
Molecule: ribosomal RNA, 481 nt
Filed under: uncultured bacterium
Lineage: Bacteria
Description: partial 16S ribosomal RNA
Rfam family: Bacterial small subunit ribosomal RNA
Source: RNAcentral